Molecule: non-coding RNA, 79 nt
Organism: Podarcis lilfordi (Lilford's wall lizard)
Lineage: Eukaryota; Metazoa; Chordata; Lepidosauria; Squamata; Lacertidae
Source: the annotation of a GenBank genome assembly
GUCAUAGCUCGGUGGUAGAACAUCUGCUUCGCAUGCUGAUGGUCCCAGGUUCAAUAUUUGGCACCUCCAGGUAGGAAUA